AACCAGCUCUUCAAGUGGUCGGGAUAAUUAUUGGGCUUAAAGUGUCCGUAGCCGGUUUAGUAAGUUCCUGGUAAAAUCGGGUGGCUUAACUAUUCGUAUGCUAGGAAUACUGCUAUACUAGAGGGCGGGAGAGGUCUGAGGUACUACAGGGGUAGGGGUGAAAUCUUAUGAUCCUUGUAGGACCACCAGUGGCGAAGGCGUCAGACUGGAACGCGCCUGACGGUGAGGGACGAAAGCCAGGGGAGCGAACCGGAUUAGAUACCCGGGUAGUCCUGGCCGUAAACGAUGCAUACUAAGGUGAUGGCACGGCCGUGAGCCGUGUCAGUGCCGUAGGGAAACCGUUAAGUGUGCCGCCUGGGAAGUACGGUCGCAAGGCUAAAACUUAAAGGAAUUGGCGGGGGAGCACCACAAGGGGUGAAGCCUGCGGUUC
This 430-nucleotide ribosomal RNA is filed under the name uncultured archaeon. Its description in RNAcentral is "bacterial SSU rRNA". It matches the Rfam family "Archaeal small subunit ribosomal RNA", at positions 474 to 903 of the family's 1478-position model. The record is from RNAcentral.